This is a long non-coding RNA of Heterocephalus glaber (naked mole-rat), 959 nucleotides long. RefSeq lists it as uncharacterized. The record is from RefSeq and is a predicted model, not a curated record. Lineage: Eukaryota; Metazoa; Chordata; Mammalia; Rodentia; Bathyergidae.
CAUCACAGUGGCAUACAGGGAGGGACCGUCAGCCCGACCCACCCAGCUGGGACCAGGGCUUCCGCGUCCUGCAAGCCCAGGGCCACACGGGCCCACCCCAAAGUCCGUGCUGCUAAGGAGCCUGCGGUUCCUUGGGUGGUUCUCAAACUUGAGCUGCUUGGAACCCAGGGGUACACCGGUCGGGCCUGGUUCCUGACCCAGCGAAGGUCUGAGGGCGGGGGCUGGGCUUCCUACCGCCUCCAGGGGGCGCUCUGAGGCAGGUCCUCUUCAGUACCACCGAGUGCUGUAACUCAGUCCGUGCUAACCUGAGCUAGCGCUGAUCUAAUGAAUCAGCAUCUCCCAACACACCUGUGCGUUAGGGUGCAGCGAGCACCGUCAGGACGCCAGGAGCACCUGGCAAUGUUUUCUAAAAAGGACACCUCAGGAGUGUGUGCAAUCACUCUGUGGACAGGUUCUGGAUUGCCUCUGCAGCCCCUGCUGUCUGAGCCUUUGCAGCCCAGCCAAAGGGAAACCGAGGCACAGAGCUGUUGUCCAAGGUCGCAGUGCUGCUAAGGACCCGAUGUGGGCCGUCCCUGGUGUCCCACACUCGGCAUGUCUCUCAGCACACCAGGCCACCCCAGGUCCCUUUGAUCCUCUGCUCUCUGGGGUCCCCUGGCCUCUUGGCUCCACACGCACGCUGUUGGGAAGAUGUUUCUGUUGUUCAUAAAUGAGAGCACGGAUUGCCCAACUUUGCGCCGAGGAAGGGUAAGCAGCGCAGGGCACAGAGGCGGAAUCGGGAACUGGGUGACGGAAGGCCUCGUGAGGUUUCAUCAUCCCGGGAUCAAGGCUCACAUUCGCCCAGGCCUCACUCAUGCCAAGAGCACACCUUACAGGCUGGAAACCAAGGCCCCCGAGGUCACGGGGUGCACGCACCUGGGGAGCCGGCUGACUCAGGUGGUCUUGCUCCAGGGCGGUGUGAC